This 449-nucleotide ribosomal RNA is filed under the name uncultured bacterium. RNAcentral describes it as "partial 16S ribosomal RNA". It matches the Rfam family "Bacterial small subunit ribosomal RNA", at positions 29 to 523 of the family's 1533-position model. The record is from RNAcentral.
AACGAACGCUGGCGGCAUGCCUAACACAUGCAAGUCGAACGAGAUCUUCGGGUCUAGUGGCGCACGGGUGCGUAACGCGUGGGAAUCUGCCCUUUGGUUCGAAAUAACAGUUGGAAACGACUGCUAAUACCGGAUGAUGACGAAGGUCCAAAGAUUUAUCGCCAGAGGAUGAGCCCGCGUAGGAUUAGCUAGUUGGUGUGGUAAAGGCGCACCAAGGCGACGAUCCUUAGCUGGUCUGAGAGGAUGAUCAGCCACACUGGGACUGAGACACGGCCCAGACUCCUACGGGAGGCAGCAGUGGGGAAUAUUGGACAAUGGGCGAAAGCCUGAUCCAGCAAUGCCGCGUGAGUGAUGGAGGCCUUAGGGUUGUAAAGCUCUUUUACCCGGGAUGAUAAUGACAGUACCGGGAGAAUAAGCUCCGGCUAACUCCGUGCCAGCCGCCGCGGUAA